GCAGACACAUUCUAGCCAAUCAGCAGCAGACCCUCCCUCCCAGACCCUCCCACCUCCUGGACAGCAUCCAUUUUACAUUCAUUGUGAAGCUGCAUUCUUAGUGAGCUGUCCAGGAGGUGGGAGGGUCUGGGAGGGAGGGUCUGCUGCUGAUUGGCUGGAAUGUGUCUG
This 168-nucleotide microRNA precursor is filed under the name Pelobates cultripes (western spadefoot toad). The record is from RNAcentral. Lineage: Eukaryota; Metazoa; Chordata; Amphibia; Anura; Pelobatidae.